GGGAGAAUACAACCAAGCGGCCAAAGUUAUCCUGUCACUCCACGGCAGGGUUGGAUAAGCAUCCACAUCGCAGGUUCGACUCCUGCUUCUCCCA
This 94-nucleotide transfer RNA is filed under the name Muribaculaceae bacterium. RNAcentral describes it as "tRNA-OTHER". The record is from RNAcentral. Lineage: Bacteria; Pseudomonadati; Bacteroidota; Bacteroidia; Bacteroidales; Muribaculaceae.